AUUUUACUACCGAAUUUUUGCGCGUUUUGACUCCAUUUACUAACCACAUUGAGGUUGCGCUCAACGCUGUUGGUGUUCAUGGAUGGCUUGACAGUGAAGGUUUCGGUGAUCGCUUUUUGGAAGUGAUAUGCGAACAGACUUACAUUCAAGCGCGGUAUUGUAAAAAUUGGUUCCGUGCGGUUGUAGGUCCCAGUGAAAAUUUAGACCCAACUCUGAUCCCACUGUUUGAUGCAAAUUUUUUACGCGGAACAUCUGUGAAAGUUAUUGCUCAAUUUGCGCAAAAUUACAACGCGGGUA
This is a long non-coding RNA of Daphnia pulex (common water flea), 297 nucleotides long. RefSeq lists it as uncharacterized. NCBI's taxonomy places the organism in Eukaryota, Metazoa, Arthropoda, Branchiopoda, Diplostraca, Daphniidae. The transcript is spliced from 3 exons. The record is from RefSeq and is a predicted model, not a curated record.